ACGAACGUUGGCGGCGUGGAUUAGGCAUGCAAGUCGAACGAAUCCUAGAGGGGUAACUCUCUGGGGGAAGUGGCGAAAGGGGCAGUAAGGCGUGGAUAACCUACCCCGGGGACGGGGAUAGCCAUCCUAACGGGUGGAUAAUACCCGGCGAUGUGGCGAGGGCGCAUGUUCUUGCCAUGAAAUGAAUUUCGCCUCGGGAGGGGUUCACGUGGUAUUAGCUAGUUGGUGGGGUAACGGCCUACCAAGGCUAAGAUGCCUAGCAGGUGUGAGAGCAUGACCUGCGCCACUGGCACUGAGACACUGGCCAGACUCCUACGGGAGGCUGCAGUCGAGGAUCUUCGGCAAUGGGCGCAAGCCUGACCGAGCGACGCCGCGUGCGCGAUGAAGGCCUUCGGGUUGUAAAGCGCUGUCGAGGGGGAGGAAAGCCCGAAAGGGUCUGACCUAUCCCUGGAGGAAGCACGGGCUAAGUUCGU
RNAcentral lists this ribosomal RNA (473 nucleotides) under uncultured bacterium. RNAcentral's name for it is "bacterial SSU rRNA". It matches the Rfam family "Bacterial small subunit ribosomal RNA", at positions 29 to 506 of the family's 1533-position model. The record is from RNAcentral.